CGAACUAUAGCUAUUCGCAACUUUGAGGGAAACGUCGACACCAAAAUGGCACGUUUAUUAAUUGCAAUGAGACAACUCCGAUGUAUUUCACUCGACAAAUGCGUUCUCCAUUGGCGUGCCCUAAUACAACUUUGCAAGAAUUUGCCAGACCUUGAAGAGCUGCAGUUUGCUCAAUUUGACAGCACAGUUAAAAAAAUGCGGUUGACGAAAUUUAAAAGUGAAUUCAAAAAGGACCUGAUUCACUUGUCUCAGCUGAAGAAACUGAAAUUUGGAAAAAUGUUCAUCAGCACAAGACGCUUUCUAGCUCCUUAUCUGCCGCACCUGGACCUGGACGUCAGAGGACCGAUAGGCAGAGCAAUCUACGACACAUCUGUAACCUCGGACAGACGCACUUUUUACUGCAUGCCAAUUUCUGGUCGAAUCAUUCCAUCAUUUCCACCAUGGCCUAAUGAAAAUUAUCCUCCGAACAUAACACAUCUCAGGAUUACAUGCCGUGAUUUUAGUGCUGGAAACUCCAGCAAUUACCCGGACUUUGCCAAUCUAGAAGUUUUGACUUUAGAUGAUCUGAGAUGUGCUGAAGCUGUUGACGAUAUUUUGCUGAAGUAUGGCGGGAAAUUACGAUCGCUUCGACUGUCCAUUCCGCAUUACUUGCCAGUAUAUGUGCGUUUUAAAUUUGGUCGCAUCUUCGAGCUUUGCCCUCGGCUAGAAGAGCUUGAUGUAGACAAUGUAAUCAUGUUAGACGAUUCUGAGCCAAUGAACAACUUCUCUGAGCUCAAGCAGCUCACGUGGACUGGUAGAUACAGCAAAGACUUGAGCAACAUUUUGCUGGCUCCAAACCUUCAAGUGGUGAAGAUCAGUACUAAUUUACGUGAAUGUUACCUGAAUUUGUACCAGACCCUGCUCAACUGUGCACCUCCGACCCUAAAUAAUUUACACACGUUUCAUAUUAACUUGCAAUUCAUCCCGGCGAGAGCCAAUUUCUACGGUAUCUGUGAUUGUUUUAAAAUGAUAUCCGCU
Long non-coding RNA from Cloeon dipterum, 1017 nucleotides. RefSeq lists it as uncharacterized. The record is from RefSeq and is a predicted model, not a curated record. The transcript is spliced from 3 exons. NCBI's taxonomy places the organism in Eukaryota, Metazoa, Arthropoda, Insecta, Ephemeroptera, Baetidae.